CAAGAGAUGUGGGACUAAAACUCAACCUGCUUUUUGUUGGCACCGCCAAUAGACCUACGGGCGCUACGGCAUAUCAUGACUCGAUCUGCUGCGGCGCCCGCGCUCUCCCUGGUUUAUCCUUCUCUCGCUUCCACUCCUCUGCCCUCCAAAGGCAAAGGGCUCUUCAGAGCAUCUUCCCUCCCCUCGCCCAAGCCACGGACCAAACGCCCCAAUUAUCUCCGCCUCAAGAUUCCCAAUCCCCAGCCACUCCAAACCCCUCCUCCACCGCCGCUGCAGACCCAUGAGCCCUGGGUUGUGGUUCUCGAAGAGGAGGUUAACGCUGUCGAACAUGUGGUACAGGAAGUCGACGCCGCAGAGGUGGUCGAGGAUGCGCCGGUGGCGACGGUGGGGAUCGACCCCGCUGCCGACCUUCAGGUGCUCCCUCGAGAAGCCUUUGCACAACACUUCGGUAUAGCGCUACGCUUCGCGGCGCUUGUAGCGGUACAGACUAUGGUUGCGGUCUGGUUUUUGGGCGGCGUCGGAGGCGAGGAGGGGAACGGCUCUGGCAAGCGGAAAGUCGAGGAAGGCAGGGUUGGGAGUGCAGCGAGCCAAGUAGCGGAGUUUCAGAAGAUCCUGGAGAUUAGAGCGAUGGCUAAGGAGGCGAGGGAGACUGAAAGGAGGGAGCUUUCCGAAGACAGUGGAGUCCAGGGCGAGUUAAGCAAAAAGAUUAGUAGUUUGAGAAAGAGAUCUCCGAAGGUCAUCUUGGACGAGAAUGGAUUUUCUGUGUCUCUGCCGCUGCCCUCCAAGAAUGUGGAUGAGGAAAUGGAUGGAAAGAAGCUUAAAUCCAAGCAGAACACGGAUAUAAAAAAAUUGAACUACAAGAGAAAGGGUGGUUUUUUGAAAUCCAUAAGGAAAUCUGAAAAUAUUCCGAAAGGAUUUGGUGGAUCGGGAAAAAAGCAAGAGCCUGGCAAAGGAAGCAACGGUGGUGUUCACCAGAUUGCUGAAGAAGCUGCAUGGCAUCAUGAACAAGGCAACACCCAUGCUUCUGAGAUGGCCCAAAGCCUGCAUGAUAUCAUGGAUGAUGUGGCUGUCUCAGGUCAAGAGGCAGUUAGACAAGUUAGUAAAGGAACCAAUUCCACCAAUGACAUUGCUGAGACCUUCCGAAAGAAUAAGAAAAGUUCCAAAGAAAUUACUAGAAUAAGUUCCUUGGAGACUGCAAAAGUUGAUAAACCAAGGUGCAAUUUACAUGCUGAAAGGAUUGAUGACAGAUCAUUUGUCAAUAAAGACAAACAAAACCAGUUGAAUUUUUUAAACAAUCCUUGGUGGCUAAAACUGCCGUAUGUUCUAGGUAUUCUUCUUCGGAGAGGAUCUAAUGGUAGGGGCCCUGAAGGGCUUUAUUCUUUGGAGGCAAAUCCCUCAUCAGAUCUGGGAGAUGUUAGUGCUGAUGUGGUUCCACUGACAAUCCAACAAAGAGUCAAUUUGUAUUAUCCAUAUCCAGUGAAGAUCUAAAUAGACAAAAAGUCCAUUGUGUGCUACUAAAUGCUCCCCUUCAAGGAAAAUGAUACUUGAGAGAUUUCUUCCUGAGGAACUUACAGAGGUACUAAAUUUGGAUGCUUUAAAGCUACUUGUGUUGAGAAAGGGACAGAUUCGUCUAUAUGCUGGCCUGCCUCUCACCGAAGUUGAGACCGAGAUACGCUCUUUAUUGAACUAAAGAAACUACAAUGUACUCUUGCUUUACAUAUUGAGAGGUCCAUUAAAGAUCAAAAAUUUUGGAGGAAAAGACAAGCCAGCCGAAUUAUUAGAACUUGACAGGAUUUCAGUCAUUUGCUUAAAGAUAUCUAAGUUUUACUCACGUAGGCCAAGGAUUCUGUAUUGUAGAAGAACAUCACAAAACCUCCUCUCUUCUGUUCGAGGCUUCACUUUGGUUUGUUAACGAAUUCUUUAGGUGUAAAUUGUGUGUGGAAGAUCUAUAAACAGGGGAAAAAAAUUUUGCUUCCAUAAUAUAAUGCAAUAAUUUUGUAUUCUAACAUCUGCAAACUGUUGAGAAUGAGAGCUUUGAUGUAACACUACAAUUGUUAUCACGUGAUUUUAUGAUCACAGGUUUGAGUUGUGAAAACAAUUUCUUGUAAGGCAAUGUAGUUCAAUC
This is an RNA transcript of Zingiber officinale, 2125 nucleotides long. RefSeq lists it as uncharacterized. Lineage: Eukaryota; Viridiplantae; Streptophyta; Magnoliopsida; Zingiberales; Zingiberaceae. The transcript has 8 exons. The record is from RefSeq and is a predicted model, not a curated record.